This 24849-nucleotide long non-coding RNA is filed under the name Triticum aestivum (bread wheat). RNAcentral's name for it is "long non-coding RNA (TAES_LNC007421)". Lineage: Eukaryota; Viridiplantae; Streptophyta; Magnoliopsida; Poales; Poaceae. The record is from RNAcentral.
UUUUAGUGGUGCCCUUGUCGCCAUGUCUUGACUUGUUUGGGGCUCUUGUUCAUUGCAGUUCCAUAACCUUCAUCGCUUGGGCCACAGUUGGAAGAGCUCCUUUCUUUCUGGCUGUUGGGCAUGGCAGAGGAAGUUCUGCAUCAGUUUGGUUUCGUGGAUAGAGUUUUCUACCUAUUGUUUUUCUUUCAUAUUGUUGGAACCUCAUUCUUGAAGUUCAACGUGUAAGGGGUUGUAUUCAUCUGCUGCCGUUGUGAUCCACUAUUAAACAGCACCUCAGAUGACAUUGAUUUAUCGAGAAAAGUGGCGUGUUUUGGUGAUACUAAGCGUAGAUUUUGCACGGCCCGUGUGAUGCGUGACAUGUUUUAGUCCCUGGAAAAAACCGCACACAACGCCAGCAGAAGCUGCAUCCUCCAUCGUUAAAGUAUAUACUCCGCAUCAAUUGGGUAUGAGUACACUGCAUCUUGUCUCACCGCUCCACAUGCCAUUCAUCGUGCGUUAGACGACUCUACUGUCCUCGUCCAGGACGAACUAGCAGCUUCUCUCAUGCGUGUCCCCUCAUCCGCAUUCUCGUGGCCGCUUCUCAACACGUAGGCGGACUGUCACGGACACGCGCCACCUCCAGUAUCACACGUGUAUGCAUGAGCCUACCCACGCCUUAAAAUUAGCUGACGCCGCGUCUCUCCCCUCCUCUCCUCUCCACCAUACUCUAGCGCUUUCCCGAACACAAAACUCGCACAGCAUCGAAGAUGGCGGCCUCGUGCCACGACGUGGACGUGCCGGGGAAGCCGACGGAGACGGGGACGGCGCUGCUGGAGACGGCGACGGGCGCCAUCCAGGGGUUCGCCCCGAUCAACCAGAUCCACCAGCACCUCUGCGCCUUCCACUUCUACGGGGACGACAUGACGCGGCAGGUGGAGGCGCACCACUUCUGCGCGCACCUCAACGAGGACGUGCGGCAGUGCCUCAUCUUCGACGGGCCGGAGGCCGGCGCGCGCCUCAUCGGCCUCGAGUACAUCGUCACCGGGGAGCUGUUCCUCACGCUGCCCGACGAGGAGAAGCCGCUGUGGCACACCCACGAGUUCGAGGUCAAGGGCGGCGUGCUCUUCAUGCCCGGCGUGCCCGGCGUCGUCGAGCGCCGCGACCUCGAGGUCGUCGCCAGGACCUACGGCAAGACCGUCCACUUCUGGCAGGUCGACCGCGGCGACGCCCUCCCGCUCGGCCUCCCGCAGAUCAUGAUGGCGCUCACCCGCGAGGGCCAGCUCCGGCAGGAUCUCGCCGACUGUAAGCGCGCGGCGCCGAGUUCACCGUGAUUUCCUUUUUGGUUUCUUGGUUCGUGCACCGAGUGUCGUGUCGGCUUACUGAUGAUUGUAACGUGGGUGCAGGUGUGGAGAAGAAGUUCAGCGUGUCGUUCCACAAGGAGAGGGAGAACAGGGCGUACAUGAGCGGCCCGGCGCACGGCAUCCACCCGCUGGCCAAUGCGGCUGGGAAGGGCUUGAAGACAGAGAUCCGCGAGGUCGAUCUUCCGGCUGCCAAUACCGGAGCCAGGAUUUUCACCUGAUCUGCCCUUGGCGUGCGUACGUGUCCGCGAGAUGGGUGUAUGAUAGCCGGAGAUAUAUAGGGUAGUUAAUAAAAUGUCUCCCACCCUUUGUUUUUCCUCUUGGAAAUGGAGUGAGUGCUCGAAGAAUUGACUUUCGAAAAACAGUAUAGGCAGUGGCGGAGCGAGGAACCGGAUGUAGAGUUAGAAGGAAUCAAAUGAAUCAACAACCUCUUUAUAAGAGCCAAACCAUAUUCUACUAAGAUUUUCCCUACAUUUCCAGAGAUUAUUUAGAAGAUAAACAAGCACUCGGCGAGAACAACAUCUGUUUUCAUAUUUUUAUAAGAAGCUGAAACUAAUACAGAACCCCGCAAACAAAUACUUCCUCCGUCCGCUUUUUGACAUUGUACUCCUUCUAUAAACUAAUAUAAGAGCGUUUAGAUCACUAAAUAGUGAUCUAAUAUAUUAGUUUACAUAAGAACGUUUAGAUCACUAAAGUAGUAACCCAAACGCUCUUAUAUUAGUUUACGGAGGGAGUACUACUGAAAACAACAAAUACUACUGAAAACAACAAAUACAACAAAUACUACUGAAAAUGAAUACAUACUACUGAAAAUGAAUACAUAAACCUUCUGCACAACAAUACUAGUGAAAACUAAUACAGAACCCUGGAAACAAAUCUUCCGAAAACAUGUACUUAAGGAAACAACAAAUAACCUUAUGCACAACAAGGAUCCGGCUUGCCUGCUUUCAUUCGUAUUCCUACUUCAUCCUGUGACUGUCUUUUUUUUUCUAAUCUAAUCAUCUUUCCUCUGAUUUUAAAGGGAUGGGGUCGGACCUUAUUUUGUUUCAAUCAAAACAAGCCAUAUACGCGGAAGUACAGAUGGGCACACGCAAGGGGAGCAGGCAAGUCUCGUUCACACAACAAUACUACUGAAAACAUGUACUUAAGGAAACAACAAAUAACUUUAUGCACAACAAUACUACUGACAAUAAAUACAGAAACCUUCUUCACAAAGUGAAACGAAUACAGAAACCCCCAAAACAAUAUAUAAUUACUUCCUUUGUUUUUCAAUAUUUGUCUUUUUACAAAUUUUAAAUGGCUACACAUACGGAUAUAUAUAGAUAUAUUUUAAGUGUAGAUGUCCAUACAGAUAUAUAUAGAUGUCCAUACAGAUAUAUAUAUAUAGACAUAUUUUAAAUAUAGAUUCAUUCAUUUUAUUUUGUAUGUAGUCACUCGCUGAAGGACAAAUAUUUAGAGAAAAAAAUAAACAUUUAGGAACGGAAGGAGUACUAUCGAAGAAAAACAAAGUAACAAGUACUAUCGGAAGAAAACAAAGCAAAUACGACAAAAAAAAGGAGAAAACCAAUACAAUAUUCAACUUUCGCAACACAAACACUUGAAGGCAUUUUUGAGAAACCACACUUUGAAGGCAUCGAACAACAAAAAACAAUGAACACAAAACCAUGGCAUAACAGUGUUAGGUCAAAUCGUAAAUAGUGCUCUAGUGACGAUACUCACGGUAAUACUAGUUAGCUCACACAUGGGCCAGCAUGUAAUAGCUGGCUAACAUAUGGGCCAUAACAAGUGCGGAGAAGAGAGAAAUUAUAUUUAUUUAAAAGUUGAUUUUUUUGGAUAAUAUGUCACAUCAUAUUUUUAGGGAUUGCUAAUUAUUGAACGGAAUUGUUAGUUAUUAAAGAUAAAACUAACAAAUAUUCAUUGUAGGUAGUUUUUAAUGUUAUCUUUAAAUUACACAAGUUAUAUGUAAGACUUAAGAUAAGAUUAGCUUAUCAACCAUGGUACAUGUCAAGGCUUAAUUUUCCUCUUAACACAAUAUGUCUCAGCUCUGCGCUCUUAGCUAUGUCUCAUCAUAUUUUUAGAAAUAAAAUUAAUUAUUAAAGAUAAAAUUAAAAAAUACCUCAUUAUAGACCUAUUUUUAUUGCCAUUUAUAAAUUACAUGCAAGACUUAAGAUAAAAUUAUAUCAUAUACACAUAUUCAAAAUGAAAAAUCUGGUUCCAGGGAAACUAGAAUUGAAUUGAAAUUUUGUUUCCAUGCUUGUUCUACGAGAAAUAUCGUUCUUUUUUUAUAUAUAUUUUGGUAAGUAUUCUGGCUUCUAUCCUCUAAUUUUUUUUAAUUUCCAUUUUUUCUCUCAGUUUCCUUUUUUCCACCGGAACACAUUUUCAAAUAAAUGAUAACAUUUUCCAAAUGCACAUUGUACAUUUUUUAAUGGCAAUACAUACUUGUUUAAAGUAUGCGCACAUCUUUUUAUAUUGCAUAGGCAGUGCAAGGACAUUUUCUGGAACAUGAAUAUUUCCUGAAAAUGUCAUGUCCAUUUUUAAUAGAAAUAAAUUUUCUUUUUUACCUACUCAAACAUUUCUUACAUUGUAUCAUUCUUUUAAGAAAUUCACAAAUAUAUUUCUGAAUAAACAAUUUUUUGAAUCUAUUAAGAAAAAUACAUGAUAUUUCCAAAGCUAGGGAGCCACUGAUUUUUCUGGAUCCGGUUAUUUUGUAGCUAGAGCCUGAGGCCCAGCUGGCGUACUCGUAUCCAUUGGAGAGCUAAAUGGGCCGUCGGCUUGCUGGACAUUUUUGCGCCAAUUCACCAAAAAAGGCGUGCAAUAGGAGCUUCUACCGAAAUUACUAGUUAUAAGGGUUACCCUAAGCAAAGGUCACUCCCACCUUCUCAAGGUCACUCCCACCUUCUCACGCGCUGAUAAAUGACACAUUGUAUGUACGUCACUUGCUGGAACCUAGUUUUAUCUUUUAAACCACGCGUCUAAAUCUUAAACCGUUUUUAAUGUUGGAUUUCUCGCAUCGAGAUCUUCAAAACUAUAUCCCAUAUUAAUAGGUUUGAACAAACUUCUCUUCAUGAAUAAAACUGGAAACCCAAAAAAUCCAAAAAAGGUACAAUACAAAAGAAAUAUAAAAUUAUGAAAAACCAGAAAAAAAAUAGCAACAAUAGAAAUGAAUGACAAAAAAGGAAGAAAAAAGGGAGUCAGAAGCACUUUUUUUCUUCAUGUUUUUACCCUCUCCGAGAAUCACAUAUCUGUUUCUCGCGGAAGCAAAUCUGUGCUUUUCGUUAAAGCACAGUUUUCUUCCCGAGAAACACAACCGCACUUUCACGCAAGCAAAUUUGUGCCUACACGAGAAGCAAAACUAUGCCGCUCGUGGAAGCAGGAAAAAACCCACACAUUAAUGUUGUAAACUUUUCCUUGUCUGAGAAACACAACUGUAUUUCUUGCGAAAGUAAGUUCGUGCCUCCAUAAAAAACAAAUAUGAGCUUCUUCUGGAAGCACAAAAAAAUCGCACACAAAUUUCUCUCUCUUUCUCUCUCUCCAAAACCUAGGGAAAACUGGAUGAAAACCGAAAAGCCAAAAAAAACCAAGAAAAAAUCUAUCUAAAACCCAAAAACAUGUACAGAUUUUUUUUUAGAAGAAGCACCCAUUACGAGACAUGUGACAGGGGCUGGAGACACCACUUGGCAUGCUCUAAGAGCACUAAAUAUGACAGCUGGAGGUCCCCCAUAAGGGGUAACCUCCAGUUAGUUGCUCUCUGCUUCCACAAUUUUUUUUGAAACAACUCUGCUUCCACAAUUGUUCACUAGUAGUCUCGUGUUGGCACAGCGCGGCUGUGUGCUGCCUACAACGAUUCCAAGCAUAGGGUUACCUGUAGAGAGCCAUUGCUGGGCCGGUCCAGUAACCAUGUGGCUGCAUCAUGCUGAGGUCACACGUUUAAAAAAAAUGCAUGUGAUGACACUUCAAAAAUAUAUUCAUACAAUGAAAAAAAUGGUCAGGUAAUAAAAACAAAUGUUUCAUACAUUUUUUUGCAUUCACGAGUUUCAAAAAUGUGUAUACAAUGUACUUUUUUUUGUGUAAUGUAAAAUAUAUAUUUUUUAACAUUAAAAAAUACACAUGACAUUUUAAAAAGGGUUUUACAGUGUAAUUUUUCUGGUAGGUAAAAAAUGUUUAGUUCUUUAAAAAAAUAUAGUUGACAUUUUAAAGAAAUAUUUAUGUGUUUUCCAAAAAAGGAUUGCGAAACUUUUAAAACAUUUAUACAAAAAAAAAUCUUUACGUAGUUUUAGAAAGUUCCAUGCCAUUAAAGUAUUUACAACAUGUAUUUGAAAAAUGUUACCAUGUAUCCGAGAAUGCAUUCAAAAUAUGUAUUUAAAGAAAUGCACAUCAUGACAAAAAUGAUCAUGUAUUUGAAAAACAUCUAACAUGUAUCAAAAAGAUAUUUCAUGUGUUCUCUAAAUUUUACAUUGUUUACUCUGAAAAAGCAGAUAUGUGUUAAAAAAGUUAAAAAUAAGAAAAAAGAUAAAAAAAAACUGACAAAGAAACAAAGAAAAGCAAAGUAUAACAAAGAAAAAUAGAAGAAAACCGAUGAAAACAAAGAAAAAACAAAAGACAAUGACAAAUAAAAAACUGUAGAAAGCCGGAGCAGAGCGAACCUACAACGACACGGUCGACGAGUGCUAAUAGGCCGACCCAAUAGUCGCUCACCCAUAGGCGAUUCCUGAUAGGAAUUGGUACAGGCGAGACAUAGCUCUUGCGGUGUUGGCGCUGCGUUUACAGGUUUUGUAAUACAUUUGUCGUUAAUCUGUUGCACAAUUUUCUAUCCCCUAUCAAAUGGGCCCACCCAGUCUCAAACAACCCCGAUUUACUAGAAGAGCUCCAAUUCUUGGGAGCUUAGUAACUUUACUACAGGUUAAUGCGUGCUUCGGUGCAUCAUUCUUCACUUGUGGAAUUAACUCUUUUUUUCUCUAGCAGGUUAUUGUGGUUGGGUUUUUUCUUUUGGAUUAUCUAUAUUGGCUUAGGUUUUAAUUAUGUUCUGAUGCUGUAUUUUUCAUUCGUAUAUCUUGUUGUGCUACUGUUAUAGACGCUAUUUUUUCGGAGAGAAAAGCGGAGUUGUUCGGUGCGUGGCGCUGGCCUUACACACUUCUGUCUCGGUGUUAGUCGAUGGCGAUUGUGUGAGCCCCUUGGAAGCUCUUAUUUCACGGUCAAAUCGUGAAAUUGUUAAUAUAACACUUAAAUGGCUGGCCCGUGAAGCCCUCCCUCGCUCAGUUUGGCUUUCUGAGGAGGGCGUUCAAGCUACUUACCGAGGAGGGUGUUUAAAACCAUGUUGCGCAAUAGGUCUCCAAACCAAAAAGCGAUGUCCCUAAGCAUAUUGAAAGCCUAGGACCCGUAUUUUUUGUCCUGCCCGACGAGGACAAAGAGUGUCUUUUUCGCUUUGGACCUUUCACGGUAGACCUCGACCUAAGACACUUUUGUGGGAGGAUAAGUGGUCACGAAACACUACUCUCCAAAAAUAGUAUCCAUCCAUGUACCGUAUUUUCCGCGAUAAGAAUGAUACUCUUGCGCACGUGCUCAACUCCACCCCGCCGGAUGUAUCAUUUAGGCGGGAUUUGGUUGGCCCCUGUCUUGUGUCAUGGCAACAUGUGUUAUCCUGUUUGGAAUUAGCUAACCUAACACAAGGAUAGAAUGUGUUUCUUGGAAUCUCACUACAUCUGAUUAUGUACCUUGCCUUCAUGCACUCAAACAUUUCAGUGGGUAAUAAUAAACAAAUAUAGAAAUCAAAGAUACCAUUAAAAGUUAAGAUUUUCAUGUGGUAUCUUCGAAGGGGAGUUGUGCUCACUAAAGACAACCUCACUCAUCGCAACUGCAAGGAAGCAAGAAGUGUAGCUUUUGUAUCAAAAAUUAAACACCUCUUCUUGCAAUGCAAGUUUGCGUGUUCUACAUGGUCAGUCAUCCAAACAACGUUCAAUUUGUAUCCACUCAUAAGUGUUGUCAAUGUAUAUAGCCCCUCACUUCAUGAAAUAUCUGAUAGGUUUAACACUCUAGCGAUGGUGAUAUCAUCUAUCUUAUUGUGGUCGCUCUGGCUAUGUAGAACUGAUAUUACUUUUUAAUGGCAAAAAACUCUCCUUUGCAAGUUACUUUCUGUUGUAUAUAAUGGCCUUGUACGCGAUCUAUGCUACUUCAAACGGAGUCCCAAUCGCUAUUCAAGAUGAUGUGUAUGUGGUUGAACCGGAUAGCCAGAAGUUUUUUUACCAACAUGGGCGGCAGCAUAAUCUUCGGAUCGGUCCACCUCCUCCUUCGACAUAAGCAUAUUGUCGGUCUCUAUGACUUUAUUGCUGCCAUCGUAUCUUUUUAUUUCAUUUGUUGUGUACAUCGUAGCAAUGCGGAAGCUGGGUAUCACUCGGUGUGCUAUCCGCUUGAUAAUACAUUUUGAGUUAAUGAAACCGUCCUUUAUCAAAAAUAACUUAGCUCGUUUCUCUUUGCAAGGGAUGCCAAGUUUGGCCGUUAAACCUCCACGAUGCUUUAUAUAUGCCUGUAAACAUAUCUAGUUAAAUAUAAGGCAAAAAUUUCUCGAAAAAAGAGGGGAUAGGACAGACUGGUGUUCAUGAUGGGGUGAUGAUAUUUCUCAACUGUGAGAUGAUGAGAACGAGGUUCUCACCGCCCCAUUUUCGGAGAAGGAAGUGCUUGAGGCUAUUUCGUAAAUGAAAAAUAACAAAGCACCUGGUCCGGAUGGCUUCCCAGUAGUUUUAUAAGAAAUAUAGGGAUAUUUAUUAAAGGCGACUUGAUGCCUAUGUUCCUUGAUCUAUUUAAUGGUCAUUUACAAUUAUUUAAAUUGAACUUUGGAACGAUGACCUUGUUACCAAAGAAGGAGGAAGUGAUUCGCAUUGAGCAAUUCAGACCGAUUUGUUUGCUGAAUGUGAGGUUCAAGAUUUUUACUAAAGUGGGUAUGAAUCACCUGAGAAAGAUAUCACAUCUUGUUGUUCAGCGAAGCCAAACUGCUUUCAUGCUAGGACGCCACAUUCUCGAGGGAGUGGUCGUCCUACAUGAAACCUUGCACGAAAUCCAUUCGAAGAAACUCGAUGGAAUGGUCUUCAAAGUGGACUUUGACAAGGCUUAUGAUAAAGUGAAAUGGCCAUUCUUACAGCAGACUUUGCGUAUGAAAGGGUUUGAUCCGGCUUGGAGGAAGCAGGUCGAAUCAUUUGUACAGGAAGGCAGCGCUAGAAUCAAGGUUAAUGACGAUAUUGGUCAUUUCUUCCAGACGCAAAAAGGUCCAAGGGAGAUUCGAUGUCUCUGAUCUAAUUUAAUGUUGUCGUUGAUAUGUUGGCCGUUAUAAUCAACAGAGCGAAAGAGGACGCUGGGUAGGUGGUCUCAUCCCACAUUUGGUGGAUGGGGUGUAACCAUUGUACAAUAUGCAAACAACACUAUUAUUUUCAUGGAACAUGAUCUAGCUAAGGCAAGAAACAUGAAACUAGUUCUAUGCCUUUUUGAACAACUGUCCGGACUGAAGAUCAACUUUAAUAAGAGUGAGUAGUUCUAUUUUGGAUGUGCCAAAGAAUAACAAGAUCAUUAUAAAUAGUUGUUCGGCUGUGAACCAGGUUCUUUACCUUUUACUCACUUGGGGAUCCCAAUUCAUCAUCGCAAGCUCACUAAUAAAGAGUGGAAGUGUAUCGAAGAUUGAUUUGAAAACAAUUUGAGUUGCUGGAAGGGCAAACUCUUAUCUUAUGGAGGAAGACUGGUUCUGAUAAACUCGGUGCUCACUAGUAUGCCGAUGUUCCUCCUUUCCUUCUUUGAACUAAUAGUAGGGGUAAGGAAAAUAUUGGAUUUUUUUAUCAAUCUCGCUUCCUAUGGAAACUCGAUGAAAAUAAAACUAAAUAUAGGUUGGCCAAAUGAGACUUUAUCUGUAGACCAAAGGACCAAGGUGGCUUGUGUUGGGGAACGCAGCAAUUUCAAAAAAUUUCCUACGAUCACGCAAGAUCUAUCUAGGUGAUGCAUAGCAACGGGAGUGGAAAGUGUUGUCUACGUACCCUCGUAGACCGAAAGUGGAAGCGUUAUGACAACGCGGUUGAUGUAGUCGUAUGUCUUCACGAUUCGACCGAUCCUAGCACCGAAGGUACGACACCUCCGCGAUCUGCACACGUUAAGCCCGGUGACAUCCCAUGAACUCUAGAUCCAGCUGAGGUCGAGGGAGAGUUUCAUCAACACGAUGGAGUGUUGACGGUGAUUAUGAAGGUACCGGCGCAGGGCUUUGCCUAAGCACUACGAUGAUAUGACCGAGGUGGAAAUCUGUGGAGGGGGGCACCACACAGGGCUAAAAGAUCAACUUGAUCGAUUUGUGUCUCUAUGGGGUGCCCCCUCCCCUGUAUAUAAAGGAGUGGAGGAGGGGAGGGCCGACCCUCUAUGUCGCUCCCAAGGGGGGAGUCCUACUCCUAGUAGGAGUAGGUUCCCCCCCUUCCCUAGUUGGAGUAGGAGAAGAAGGAAGAGGGAGAGGGAGAGAAGGAAAGGGGGCCCGACCCCCUCCCAAUUCGGAUUGGGCUUGGGGGGGGGGCAUCUUGGCCUCCUCCUCCUCUCUUCCACCAUGGCCCAUUAAGGCCCAUUGACUCCCCGGGGGGUUCCGGUAACCUCCUGCUACUUCGAAAAAAUGCCCGAACCACUCGGAACCUUCCUGGUGUCCAAACAUAGCCUUCCAAUAUAUCAAUCUUUAUGUCUCGACCAUUUCGAGACUCCUCGUCAUGUCCGUGAUCACAUACAGGACUCCUAACAACCUUCGGUACAUCAAAACACAUAAACUCAUAAUAUCGAUCGUCAUCGAACGUUAAGCGUGCGGACCCUACGGGUUCGAGAACUAUGUAGAGAUGACCAAGACUCAUUUCCGGUCAAUAACCAAUAGCAGAACCUGGAUGCUCAUAUUGGUUCCUACAUAUUCUACGAAGAUCUUUAUCGGUCAAACCGCAUAACAACAUACGUUGUUCCCUUUGUCAUCGGUAUGUUACUUGCCCGAGAUUCGAUCGUCGGUAUCAUCAUACCUAGUUCAAUCUCAUUACCGGUAUGUCUCUUUACUCUUUCCGUAAUACUUCAUCCCGCAACUAACUCAUUAGUUACAAUGCUUGCAAGGCUUAUAGUGAUGAGUAUUACCGAGAGGGCCCAGAGAUACCUCUCCAAAACACGGAGUGACAAAUCCUAAUCUUGAUCUAUGCCAACCCAACAAACACCUUUAUAGACAUAUGUAGAGCACCUUUAUAAUCACCCAUUUACAUUGUGACAUUUGGUAGCAUACAAAGUGUUCCUCCGGUAUUCGGGAGUUGCAUAAUCUCAUAGUCCGAGGAACUUGUAUAAGUCAUGAAGAAAGCAGUAGCAAAGAAACUGUUACGAUCAUAAUGCUAAGCUAACGGAUGGGUCAUGUCCACCACAUCAUUCUCCUAAUGAUGUGAUCCCAUUCAUCAAAUGACAACACAUGUCUAUGGUUAGGAAAUAUAACCAUCUUUGAUUAACGAGCUAGUCAAGUAGAGGCAUACUAGGGACUAUAUGUUUUGUCUAUGUAUUCACACAUGUACUAAGUUUCCGGUUAAUACAAUUCUAGCAUGAAUAAUAAACAUUUAUCAUGAAUUAAGGAAAUAAACAAUAACUUUAUUAUUGCCUCUAGGGCAUAUUUCCUUCAGUCUCCCACUUGCACUAGAGUCAAUAAUCUAGAUUGCAUAGUAAUGAUUCUAACACCCAUGGAGUCUUGGUGUUGAUCAUGUUUUGGUUGUGGAAGAGGCUUAGUCAAUGGGUCUGCAACAUUCAGAUCCAUGUCUAUCUUUCAAAUCUCUAUGUCCCCUUCCGACACUUGAUGACAGAUGGAAUUGAAGCGUCUCUUGAUGCGUUUGGUUCUCUUGUGAAAUCUGGAUUCCUUUGCCAAGGCAAUUGCACCAGUAUUGUCACAAAAGAUUUUUAUUGGAACCGAUGCACUAGGUAUGACACCUAGGUCGGAUAUGAACUCCUCCAUCCAAACUCCUUCAUUUGCUGCUUCCGAAGCAGCAAUGUACUCUGCUUCACACGUAGAUCCCGCCACGACGCUCUGCUUGGAACUGCACCAACUGACAACUCCUCCGUUCAAUAAAAAUACGUAUUCGGUUUGUGACUUAGAGUCAUCCGGAUCAGUGUCAAAUCUUGCAUCGACGUAACCGUUUACGACAAGCUCUUUUUCACCUCCAUAAACGAGAAACAUAUCCUUAGUCCUUUUCAGGUAUUUCAGGAUGUUCUUGACCGCUGUCCAGUGCUUCCCUCUGGGAUUACUUUGGUACCUCCUUGCUAUGCUUAUAGCAAGACAUACAUCAGGUCUGGUACACAACAUUGCAUACAUGAUAGAACCUAUGACUGAAGCAUAGGGAAUGACUUUCAUUUUCUCUCUAUCUUCUGUAGUGGCCGGGCAUUGAGUCCGAUUCAACUUCACACCUUGUAACACAGGCAAGAACCCUUUCUUUGACAGAUCCAUUUUGAACUUCUUCAAAACUUUAUCAAGGUAUCACUACUAGGAAAACCCUUACCAGUAGCGCUGUUUUUUUGCUAUUAGUAGCGCGGGUAGGUGCGCUACUGCUACGGUGAUACAGCUAUUUUAUAGCAGUAGCGCUUGUUUUGACCCGCACUACUGGUAAAUGAGCGCUGCUGGUAAUAUUUUGGCCCGCGCCACUGCUAAAGUUUAUGUUUUUUUUUUCAUAUUUUGGCGCUGUACAUGUUUAAAUAGAUAUAUCUUUUAUACAAUAACAACUCAUCAUGAACUAGUCUUUUAAAUAGCAUAUUCAUUACUACUAGUCAUCACCACCAAACAAUGUUCGUCAAUGAGACAUCAUAUAUAUAACAAGUUGGUCACUAGUCAUAAUCACAACUCCUCAUCCUCCUCAUCAACUCUAGCUAACACAUUGUAGCACAUAAUAACACAUUCUACCUAGGACCUACUUUACCCUCUCUUAGGUAAAAUAUCAUAAAACAAGAUAGGCAUUGACUCUUUAUUAAGGAAACUGGACUCUCCAUAAUGAAGAACGGAGAUCAUCCUGUCUCCCAGUCUUGGCCUACGCACAAUGUUGCUUCCAAGUAGCUCUCUACGAUGGUCGAAACAUUUUUUCCAAUCAUUUAUUAUCAUGGCUUCCUCGCUUUUAGAAAUCCGGUAUGGACAUGAGUGAUGUGGAUACUGCGGCUGACCUGGCCGUGGUGGCCAUCAUCUCAUGACAUCAGCGCGACCUCUUGGCAACAUCAGAUAAGGCACACAAUCCAUCGGGAUUUUCUGUUAAAAAACAUAGUAAUUACUUUGUAGUUAGCAAUGUAGUUUAGUUUUAGAAAAAAUUAUGCAAAAGAUGCACGAAUGUCGUAAUAGUAGAAAAUCUUACCAUGCUAUCUCCAUUGAUGUUACCGUAGCACACCGUGUGCACUAGUGGCACAUAUUGACCAUAAUUUUGAGGAAUUCGAUAAUAGCUAUUGUAAUUCUCAAGAUCAGUAAAAAAUGCGAUAAGACCAUCUUUCUCCUUAUAAGUUAAUUGUGCUUCAUCAUUGUAGUAGUAGGUUCUGUCUACCAUCUUCCGUACAUUUUUUGAAACCUAUCAAAUACUUUGAAAUAAACAAUAUAAAUUACUUAAUAAAUAUGUUUGAUAAACUCACACAGCGGUAGAACUGGAAGCGUGUCAACAAGGACCCAAAUGGUCAUAUUCUUUUCGUCGAUGUCAGGAUCACCAAGAUCGAAGGUGACAAGCAUACCCUCAUGAAAAUCAUACGCCUUGCAAAGGGCUUCCCAAUUUAGGCAACCAAAAUUGGAUGAGUUCACAGAAUUGUAUAGUUUUACAGCAAAAUCAUAACCAUGAUGGGUCCUUAGUUGAAUUAUCUUUGUCUCCAUGCUUUCAUGAUCUUCAAAACCCAUCUUCUCCAAGACAUAGCGUCUUGCAUGGCAUGGGAUAAGCUAGUCGAAUUGUAAAAGACGGAAAUUACACGUUGAAGAAGCAGAGAAGUCGUGCAAAAAUAACAAAAAACACUUGUCAUCGUUGCGUACCGUAUCAACAUCGAAGGUCUCUUGGAGCUUGAUGCUGAAGCGCCGACCUUCCACCAGGUGAGGCAUGUCGCACAGACCGCGCUCAUCUUCGCAGUAAUCGCACAUAUCGAAUUCCCUUUCGUCGUCAGACAUUUCCUAAUAGGUAAUUAAUAAUCCAUCAUCGAAUACAUAUAUAAUAGUUUGUAGCAAAGAUCAUCAUAUAACAACUAGAAGACCUAAAAUUUGUAGUUUGUAGUACUUUGUAGAAAAGAUCAUCAUCGAACCUAGUUUGUAGCAAAUAUCAUCAUAUAAUCCAUCAUCGAAUACAUAUAUAGUAGUUUGUAGCACAAACCACGCUCAUCUUUUGCAUUCAAUAAGCAAAUAACUAAUAGGUAAUUAAUAAUCCAUCAUCGAAUACAUAUAUAGUAGUUUGUAGCAAAGAUCAUCAUAUAAUAUCACUAAUACAUCUCGAAUAAUAGCUCCUCUAGGUUCAGUGGGCCGCGAUGGACACCCAAAGAGAAGGAACCAUCACAGGAUCAUAGCUCCGGUGAGGUCCCCAAAGAAUCUGCCAGGUAUUCGAGAACCUGCCGUUCUCCAACGAAACCAAGUAGCGGUGGAUGUGCGUGUUCUCUGUGACACGGUGCUGUACCACCUGCGCGGGGGAAUCAAGCCUCUGCACCGAUGCAGGCCCACGUGACCGCCACCAAAGAAGCCCCGGGUUGACGACGGGCUGGCUCCUCACUAAGCUGCGCUCACUAGAAGGUAGCACAACCCAGUACCAGCCCGGCGGAGCCCAGUCCCGGAAAUGGCCCCUCAGCUCAAGCAGGAGUCCUCCGCCGAGUCGACGACAAGGAUGCGGGAUAGGCAUCAUCGUCGUCGAUAACAAAAUGCUUAAUCAUGAAACAAAAUUAAUAAACACUUAGCAAAAUUCGGCAUGACCUUUGCUAAAAGCAGGACAUAUUGAGCGCCUAAAAUUUGCCAGAAUGUAAAUGAAUUGACAUUUCUGGCAAAACAUAGGCCACUCGGAAAAAUAUGACAUGUCCAAAAUGUGACAUGUUCAAAAUAUGACAUGUCCACUACAUAUUUGCAUAUAAUAGGAAAAAUUGCUUUAACUAAAAAAUAACAACAAUUGCUUUAACUAAAAAAAUACCUAGAAUUCUGUUAACUACACCUAAAACAACUAAAACACCUAAAAUUUUGUUAACUACACCGAAAACAACUAUAACACCUAAAAUUCUGUUAAAUACACCUAAAACACCUAAAUUCUAUUAACUACACCUAAUUAAAAACCUAGCUAAUUUUCUGUCCUAACUUUAAAACCUAGCUAAAUUUAAAAACCUAGGGUUCAUACAAAUUAACUAGGGUUCAUACCUAAUCUGUCCUAGCUAGGUUUCGAUCAUAACCUACAUUAUUCUAAAAACCUACAUUUUUUCAACUAUAUAGGAUUCAAAAUAACUACUCACUAAUAACUAUAACUAGGGAGGGNNNNNNNNNNNNNNNNNNNNNNNNNNNNNNNNNNNNNNNNNNNNNNNNNNNNNNNNNNNNNNNNNNNNNNNNNNNNNNNNNNNNNNNNNNNNNNNNNNNNNNNNNNNNNNNNNNNNNNNNNNNNNNNNNNNNNNNNNNNNNNNNNNNNNNNNNNNNNNNNNNNNNNNNNNNNNNNNNNNNNNNNNNNNNNNNNNNNNNNNNNNNNNNNNNNNNNNNNNNNNNNNNNNNNNNNNNNNNNNNNNNNNNNNNNNNNNNNNNNNNNNNNNNNNNNNNNNNNNNNNNNNNNNNNNNNNNNNNNNNNNNNNNNNNNNNNNNNNNNNNNNNNNNNNNNNNNNNNNNNNNNNNNNNNNNNNNNNNGGGAAGGGCGACCGAUGGGGGAAGAGGGCCCACACAAGGGAGGGCGGCCGGAUCGGGGGAUUGAGGGAUUCGAUCUGUGAGUGUGAGUGAGUGAGAGGGGAGGGGCGCGUGGGGGAAGCAGAGGUGGGCUUAGCGGCAGCGCGGGGAAGGAGGCCCAGCACUAUAGCUAAAGCUGCAACAGUGGGCUGAGAGCGUGGCCCAUCAACAACAACGCUGGACAGGAUAUCCCGUGCUACUGCUAACCCUUACUUGCAGCACUGGUGUUGUCAGGCGCUACUGCUAAAUAGCAGUAGCGCGGGGUCUUUAGCCAACGCUACUGCUAAAUGUCUACCUAUAAGCAUUUUCCUAGUAGUGUAUGUGCUUUGUGAAAGUCCAAUUAAGUGUCUUGAUCUAUCCCUAUAGAUCUUGAUGCCCAAUAUGUAAGCAGCUUCACCAGGGUCUUUCAUGGAAAAACUCUUAUUCAGGUAUCCUUUAUGCUAUCCAGAAAUUCUAUAUCAUUUCCAAUCAACAAUAUGUUAUCCACAUAUAAUAUCAGAAAUGCUACAGAGCUCCCACUCACUUUCUUGUAAAUACAGGCUUCUCCAAAAGUCUAUAUAAAACCAUAUGCUUUGAUCACACUCAAAGCGUUUAUUCCAACUCUGAGAGGCUUGCACCAGUCCAUAAAUGGAUCGCUGGAGCUUGCACACUUUGUUAGCACCCUUUGGAUUGAAAAAACCUUCUGGUUGCAUGAUAUACAACUCUUCUUCCAGAAAUCCAUUCAUGAAUGCAGUUUUGACAUCCAUUUGCCAAAUUUCAUAAUCAUAAAAUGCAGCAAUUGCUAACAUGAUUCGGACAGACUUAAGCAUCACUACGGGUGAGAAAGUCUCAUCGUAGUCAACUCCUUGAACUUGUCGAAAACUUUUCGCAACAAGUUGAGCUUUGUAAAUGGUAACAUUACCGUCUGCGUUGGUCUUCUUCUUAAAGAUCCAUUUAUUUUCUAUGGCUUGCCGAUCAUCGGGAAAGUCCACCAAAGUCCACACUUUGUUCUCAUACAUGGAUCCCAUCUUAGAUUUCAUGGCUUCAAGCCAUUUCACGGAAUCUGGGCUCAUCAUCGCUUCCUCAUAGUUCGUAGGUUCAUCAUGGUCUAGUAACAUGACUUCCAGAACAGGUUUAUCAUACCACUCUGGUGCGGAUCUUAUUCUGGAAGACCUACGAGGUUCGAUCAGAAGCUUCAUGAUCAUCAUCAUUAGCUUCCUCACUAAUUGGUGUAGGAAUCAUGGGAACUGAUUUUUGUGAUGAACUACUUUCCAAUAAGGGAGAAGGUACAAAUACCUCAUCAAGUUCUACUUUCCUCCCACUCACUUCUUUCGAGAGAAACUCCUUCUCUAGAAAUGAUCCAUUCUUAACAACAAAGAUUUUGCCUUCGGAUCUAUGAUAGAAGGUGUACCCAACAGUUUCCUUUGGGUAUCCUAUGAAGACACACUUCUCCGAUUUGGGUUUGAGCUUAUCAGGUUGAAGCUUUUUCAUAUAAGCAUUGCAGCCCCAAACUUUAAGAAACGACAACUUUGGUUUCUUGCCAAACCAUAGUUCAUAAGGCGUCGUCUCAACGGAUUUUGAUGGUGUCCUAUUUAAAGUGAAUGCAGCCGUCUCUAAAGCAUAACCCCAAAACGAUAGCGGAAAUCAGUAAGAGACAUCAUAGAUCGCACCAUAUCCAAUAAAGUACGGUUACGACGUUCAGACACACCAUUUCACUGUGGUGUUCCAGGUGGCGUUAAUUGUGAAACUAUCCCAUGCUGUUUCAAAUGAAGACCAAACUCAUAGCUCAAAUAUUCUCCUUCACUAUCAGAUCGUAGAAACUUUAUUUUCUUGUUACGAUAAUUUUCCACUUCACUCUGAAAUUCUUUCAACUUUUCAAAUGUUUCAGACUUAUGCUUCAUUAAGUAGAUAUAACCAUAUCUGCUCAAAUCAUCUGUGAAGGUAAGAAAAUAACGAUACCCACCACGAGCCUCAAUACUCAUUGGACCGCAUACAUCUGUAUGUAUUAUUUCCAACAAGUCAGUAGCUCGUUCCAUUGUUCCGAAGAACGGAGUUUUAGUCAUCUUGCCCAUAAGGCACUGCUCGCAAGCACCAAGUGAUUCAUAAUCAAGUGAUUCCAAAAGUCUAUCAGCAUGGAGUUUCUUCAUGCGCUUUACACCGACAUGACCCAAACGAUAGUGCCACAAAUAAGUUGCACUAUCAUUAUUAUCUUUGCAUCUUUUGGCUUCAAUACUAUGAAUAUGUGUAUCGAGAUUCAACAAAAAUAGACCACUCAACAAGGGUGCAUGACCAUAAAAGAUAUUACUCAUAUAAAUAGAACAACCAUUAUUCUCCGAUUUAAAUGAAUAACCGUCUCGCAUCAAACAAGAUCCAGAUAUAAUGUUCAUGCUCAACGCUGGCACCAAAUAACAAUUAUUUAGGUCUAAAACUAAUCCUGAAGGUAGAGGUAGAGGUAGCGUGCCAACUGCGAUCACAUCGACUUUGGAACCAUUUCCCACGCGCAUCGUCACCUCGUCCUUAGCCAAUCUUCACUUAAUCUGUAGCCCCUGUUUCGAGUUGCAAAUAUGAGCAACAGAACCAGUAUCAAAUACCCAGGCGCUACUACGAGCAUUAGUUAAGUACACAUCAAUAACAAGUAUAUCAAAUAUACCUUUCACUUUGCCAUCCUUCUUAUCCGCCAAAUACUUGGGGCAGUUCCACUUCCAGUGACCAAGCACUCAGUUUUAGGCUUAGGUACAGGCUUGGGUUUCUUCUCUUGAGCAGCAACCUUUUUGCCGUUCUUCUUGAAGUUCCCCUUCUGCCCUUUGCCCUUUUUCUUGAAACUAGUGGUCUUGUUGACCAUCAACACUUGAUGCUCCUUUUUGAUUCUACCCUCGCAGCCUUUAGCAUUGCGAAGAGCUCGGGAAUAGUCUUGUUCAUCCCUUGCAUAUUAUAGUUCAUCACGAAGCUUUUGUAGCUUGGUGACAGUGAUUGAAGAACUCUGUCAAUGACACUAUCAUUAGGAAGAUUAACCCCCAGUUGAGUCAAGUGGUUAUGGUACCCAGACAUUCUGAGUAUGUGUUCACUGACAGAACUAUUCUCCUCCAUUUUACAGUUGUAGAACUUAUUGGAGACUUCAUAUCUCUCAAUCCGGGCAUUUUCUUGAAAUAUUAACUUCAACUCCUAGAAAAUCUCAUAUGCUCCAUGACGUUCAAAACGUCGUUGAAGUCCCUCUUCUAAGCCGUAAAGCAUGGCACACUGAACUAUCGAGUAGUCAUCAGCUUUGCUCUGCUAGAUGUUCUUAACGUCAUUAGUAGCAUCUGCAGCAGGCCUCGCACCCAACGGUGCUUCCAGGACAUAAUUUUUCGGUGCAGCAAUGAGGAUAAUCCUCAAGUUACGGACCCAGUCCGUGUAGUUGCUGUCACCAUCUUUCAACUUAGCUUUCUCUAGGAACACAUUAAAAUUCAAAGGAACGGUAGCACUGUCAUUUGAUCUACAACAAUAUAGAGAUGCAAAAUACUAUCAGGUACUAAGUUCAUGAUAAAUUAAAGUUCAAUUAAUCAUAUUACUUAAGAACUCCUACUUAGAUAGACAUCCCUCUAAUCAUCUAAGUGAUCACGUGAUUCAAAUCAACUAAACCAUGUCUGAUCAUCACGUGAGAUGGAGUAGUUUUCAAUGGUGAACAUCACUAUGUUGAUCAUAUCUACUAUAUGAUUCACGUUCGACCUUUCGGUCUUAGUGUUCCGAGGCCAUAUCUGCAUAUGCUAGGCUCGUCAAGUUUAACCUGAGUAUUCUGCGUGUGCAAAACUGGCUUGCACCCGUUGUAUGUGAACGUAGAGCUUAUCACACCCGAGCAUCACAUGGUGUCUCGGCACUACGAACUGUAGCAAUGGUGCAUACUCAGGGAGAACACUUAUACAUUGAAAUUUAGUAAGGGAUCAUCUUAUAAUGUUACCGCCAUACUAAGCAAAAUAAGAUGCAUAAAAGAUAAAUCACAUGCAAUCAAAAUAUGUGACAUGAUAUGGCCAUCAUCAUCUUGUGCUUAUGAUCUCCAUCACCGAAGCAUCGUCAUGAUCUCCAUCGUCACCGGCGCGACACCUUGAUCUCCAUCAUAGCAUCAUUGUCGUCUCGCCAAGUAUUGUUACUACGACUAUCGCCACCGCUUAGUGAUAAAGUAAAACAAUUAUAUGGCGAUUGCAUUGCAUACAAUAAAGCGACAACCAUAUGGCUCCUGCCAGUUGCCGAUAACUUUGUUACAAAAACAUGAUCAUCUCAUACAACAAUUUAUAUCACAUCAUGCCUUGACCAUAUCACAUCACAGCAAGCCCUGCAAAAACAAGUUAGACGUCCUCUACUUUGUUGUUGCAAGUUUUACGUGGCUGCUAUGGGCUUCUAGUAAGAACCGUUCUUACCUAGGCAUCAAAACCACAACGAUUUUUAGUCAAGUGUACUGUUUUAACCUUCAACAAGGACCGAGCAUAGCCACACUCGAUUCAACUGAAGUUGGAGAAACAGACACUCACUAGCCACCUGUGUGCGAAGCACGUCGGUAGAACCAGUAUUGCGUAAGCGUAUGCGUAAUGUCGGUCUGAGCCGCUUCAUCCAAUAAUACUGCCAAAUCAAAGUAUGACAUGCUGAUAAGCAGUAUGACUAUUAUCGCCCACAACUCUUUGUGUUCUGCUCGUGCAUAUAACAUCUACGCAUAGAUCUGGCUCGGAUGCCACUGUUUGGGAACGCAUCAAUUUCAAAAAAUUUCCUACGAUCACGCAAGAUCUAUCUAGGUGAUGCAUAGCAAAGAGAGGGGAGAGUGUUGUCUACGUACCCUCAUAGACUGAAAGCGGAAGCAUUAUGAAAACACGGUUGAUGUAGUCGUACGUCUUCACGAUCCGACCGAUCCUAGCACCGAAGGUAUGACACCUCCGCAAUCUGCACACGUUCAGCUCGGUGACGUCCCACAAACUCUAGGUCCAGCUGAGGUCGAGGGAGAGUUUCGUCAGCAUGAUGGUGUGUUGACAGUGAUGAUGAAGUUAUCGGCGCAAGGCUUCUCCUAAGCACUACGAUGAUAUGACCGAGGUGGAAAUCUAUGGAGGGGGGCACCGCACACGACUGAAAGAUCAACUUGAUCAACUUGUGUCUCUAUGGGGUGCCCCCUCCCCCAUAUAUAAAGGAGUGGAGGAGGGGAGGGCCGACCCUCUAUGGCGCUCCCAAGGGGGGAGUCCUACUCCCAGUAGGAGUAGGUUUCCCCCCUUCCCUAGUUGGAGUAGGAUAAGAAGGAAGAGGAAGAGGGAGAGAAGGAAAGGGGGGCCGGCCCCCCUCCCAAUUUGGAUUGGGCAGGGGGGCCCACCUUGGCCUCCUCCUCCUCUCUUCCACCGUGGCCCAUUAAGGCCCAUUGACUCCCCGGGGGGUUCGAGUAACCUCCCAGUACUCCGGAAAAAUGCCCGAACCACUCGGAACCUUUCCGGUGUCCAAACAUAGCCUUCCAAUAUACCAAUCUUUAUGUCUCGACCAUUUCGAGACUCCUCGUCAUGUCCGUGAUCACAUCCGGGACUCCGAUCAACCUUCGAUACAUCAAAACACAUAAACUCAUAAUACCGAUCAUCAUCAAACGUUAAGCGUGCGGACCCUAUGGGUUCGAGAACUAUGUAGACAUGACCGAGACUCACUUCUGGUCAACAACCAAUAGCGGAAACUAGAUACUCAUAUUGGUUCCUACAUAUUCUAUGAAGAUCUUUAUCGGUCAAACCGCAUAACAACAUAUGUUGUUCCCUUUGUCAUCGGUAUGUUACUUGCCCGAGAUUCGAUCGUCGGUAUCAUCAUACCUAUUUCAAUCUCGUUACCGGUAAGUCUCUUUACUCGUUCCAUAAUACUUCAUCCCAAAAAUAACUCAUUAGUUACAAUGCUUUCAAGGCUUAUAGUGAUGAGUAUUACCGAGAGGGCCCAGAGAUACCUCUCGGAAACACGGAGUGACAAAUCCUAAUCUUGAUCUAUGCCAACCCAAUAAACACCUUCGAAGACACCUGUAGAGCACCUUUAUAAUCAUCCAUUUACGUUGUGACGUUUGGUAGCACACAAAGUGUUCCUCUGGUAUUCGGGAGUUGCAUAAUCUCAUAUAUGAGGAACUUGUAUAAGUCAUGAAGAAAGCAGUAGCAAAGAAACUGUUACAAUCAUAAUGCUAAGCUAACGGAUGGGUCAUGUCCAUCACAUCAUUCUCUUAAUGAUGUGAUCUCGUUCAUCAAAUGACAACACAUGUCUAUGUUUAGGAAACAUAACCAUCUUUGAUUAAUGAGCUAGUCAAGUAGAGGCAUACUAGGGACUAUAUGUUUUGUCUAUGUAUUCACACAUGUACUAAGUUUUCGGUUAAUACAAUUCUAGCAUGAAUAAUAAAAAUUUAUCAUGAAUUAAGGAAAUAAAUAAUAACUUUAUUAUUGCCUCUAGGGCAUAUUUCCUUCAGCUCGGGUAUUGAAAAUCUAGAGGUGAAGAAUAAGUGCUUACUUAGCAAAUGGGUUUAUCGGUUGGCGGUAGAGAGGGACGGGGUUUGGAUUCAGCUGCUGCAUAAUAAAUAUUUACAUUCUAAAACACUGGCUCAAGUGACGGCACAACCAUCCGACUCUCCUUUUUGGAAGGGGCUUAUGAGGGCAAAGGUUGCCUUCUUUAACAUGAGCAAAUUCAUUGUAGGGAAUGGACAGGGUACUAGGUUUUGGGAGGACACCUGGUUGGGUGAGAUUCCAUUAGCCUUGCUGUAUCCCUCCCUAUAUAACAUUGUAAAGUGGAAAGAGGUUUUUGUUGGUACAGUGUUGGGAUUUGUUCAUCUGAACAUUCAGUUUUGACGGUCUUUAUUGGUUGAUUGAUGGGAUAGAUGGCAGCAUCUCGUGCGUAGGUUAAUGAAGAUUAACCUUUCUGAUGUAGCAGACUCCUAACAUUGGAAGUUGUCUGCGUCAGGAGUAUUCUCGGUUAAAUAUAUGUAUAUGGAUUUGAUUAACACCGGGCCUGUCCCAAGGACGAUACAUAUUUGUUAAGUUAAAGUGCAUGAGGGAGUAAUUUUGACAAAAUAUAACUUGGCCAAGUGUAGUUGGGAAGUGAGCAAAAGAUGCUACUUCUGUGAUCAGGAUGAAACAAUAGAACAUCUUUUUAUCCAAUGCCCACUUGCCAAGUUACCGUCGAGAACUAUUCACGCUGCUUUUAAAGUUGUUUCGCCAGUCUCAAUCUCGCAUUUAUUUGGGACCUGGUUAACUGAGAUAGAGCCUAAGACCACGGGGCAUAUUUGAAUUGGAGUAUGUGCAUUACUUGGGGCCAUAUGGAAUUAUCGGAAUGAACCAUCAUUAUUUUUUGCAGGUUAUCUUCAGGGCGUCUAUUGGAUCCGUAUAUGGUCAUUACUCAGCCAUGUCCCACAAGGAGCAUAUUGAUAUUGGGUUCAACGGAUGGGAGAUACUCGCACGGAAUACUUACAACCGGUUUGGAUGGCGGUCCAAUAAUAGGAUAGAUAUUUAGUCAUCUUUUCCUAUUUUUCGCUGGUUGUGGCAAAUUUAUUUUUUGGAGUUGCCGUACUACAGUUUAAGAUUCCUUUUAAAAAAAAUGAUGGGGUGAUGCUUGAAUAUGCAUUUUGAAAACCUACACACUUGGCUGUUCACCAUUUAUCAAGUUAUAGCUCAGUCGAUGCUUCAUUAGUUUUUCUUCAUGGAUCACGUUUCAUGGAACAGAUCAUCAGUGACGCCAUUUAACUAGUAUAAGAUAUCCCCUCUUUCCCAAAGGCAGCCGCAUAUGGAGAAGAGACAUUUGUGACAUGCACAAGCCAUUCAUGCAUCUAGUGUUGAACUCGAAAGGAGCAGCGAAGGUAGACGCAAGUAUAAUAUAAAGCGGGACAGAUGUACGAAUCCACUGUAAAGCGUAAACUGAAAGCAGAUCAGAGAAGUGGAGAACCUUGCAAAGAGGCUGAAAACUACGGCGCGAUGCAAACCCGAGAAGGAACAGAGCAAUCAACAUCGUACUGUAACGUGAAAGACCCGGCGCAUCAGUCAAGAACAUACUAAUAACCUAGCUAUAUCACCAUUUUAUGCCAGAUUUUAGUGCAUAAUUUUGGCAAGUAGAUCGUAAGUCAAGAUUUGAAUUCGGGUUAGGUAUGUAGCCCUUUCAGAAUGAUCCGAAGAAUAUGAUUCGAUAGAAAAGCAAAUCCAUUUCCUUGGCAGGACUUUUUAUCCCCUUGUCUUGAUUGAGUGCAUGAUUGAGGUGCGGUCACGCUCAGGGCACCUCGCGCUGGAUGGAGCUGCGGGGGCAUGUCCCAUCCUAGGAAAAGAAAUGCACGCUUGCCCAACACACUUCAUUUAGUCCGAAACCUCUGAGGUUUAAUCACUCUCGCUGUGUCUUGCACCAACCCUAACCAUGCAGGAUUAGGCACGCUGUCCUUGUCUCUAUUCUUUCUCCUGGGUAUAUAAAUGGCCCCUUUCAUCGCCUAAGGUUCUGUACUUGGCCUCAUCAGUGGUUCUUGCUGGAAGCAAAAGUUGAGUGAUCAUGGGCGCCUUGGAUCAUCUGUCCCGUCUGUGUAACUUCACACAUACAAGGGAAGCCAUCAGGAUCAAGAAAAGGCGGCCACUGACGGUGAGGAUUGUGGAAUUCAAGCACGUUUGUGUUCUAUUUUUUUGGUGUAGGUUUGUUCAUCGAUCGGAAGCAGCUCCAUCUUCCGAAGAUGGCCUUCUGAUCUUGUGAAGGGAUCAAUGUAUUUUUUUUUUUGCACUUUUUUUGUCAUUUUGUUAAUUGAGCUGCCACAAACGUGUGAUUAACUGGAGUUUCAUUUAACUAUCUAUCUAUCUAUCUAUCUAUCUAUCUACAGACGGUGAACAUCAAGGUGAAGAUGGACUGUGAUGGCUGCGAGAGGAGGGUCAAGAACGCCGUCAAAUCGAUUCGGGGUACAUAUACACAUACUGACCGAUAUCGAUCUGAAACGUCAAACCAAGCGAUCUAAUUCUUUUCUUUUGAAAAUAUUUUUUUUAUUUUGAGGAUAGAAAAUAUAACAUUUAGUUCAUAUAUUUAUUUGGUGAACGUUCAUAUGCAUAUGCCAAAGGUGUAACGACGGUGGUGGUGAAUCGCAAGAUCAACAAGGUGACGGUGACGGGGUAUGUGGAGCCUCGCAAGGUGCUGGCGAGGGUGAAGAGAACUGGGAAGACGACGGCGGAUAUGUGGCCGUACGUGCCCUACACGGUGGCCACCUACCCCUACGUCGGCGGCUCCUACGACAAGAAGGCGCCGGCGGGCCUGGUCCGCAACGUGCCGCAGGCCAUGGCCGACCCGGCCGCGCCGGAGGUCAAGUACAUGAACAUGUUCAACGACGAGGACGUUACCGCUUGCACCGUCAUGUGAUUCGAUCAUAUCAUAUUAGCAUCUGCACUCCGGCCAUCUGCACCCAGCCACGACGACAUGCCGAGAUUACUACUGUAGAUAUAUCGGUGUUCUCGCAGCGCUGGGGAAGAAUGAUACCAAGAAGAUGAGCUUGUGCAUGUACGGUACUGAUGGAUGAUGUACUCCAAAUUAAGAGCCAUAAUUCGGAACGAUGCCCAUGCUCAUCUACUACACCUGGGUGAACAGUCAAUUAAAAAUAAUAAUAGUAAAUUCAAAAAACAUCUACUUCUUUUAGAAAUCCAAGAUGCUCAUGUGCGCGGAAAAUUUCGGGGUGUUCGGACAUUUGAUGAGCGAACAAAAAAAAAA